RNAcentral lists this ribosomal RNA (771 nucleotides) under uncultured Neocallimastigales. RNAcentral describes it as "partial large subunit ribosomal RNA". It matches the Rfam family "Eukaryotic large subunit ribosomal RNA", at positions 18 to 640 of the family's 3401-position model. Lineage: Eukaryota; Fungi; Neocallimastigomycota; Neocallimastigomycetes; Neocallimastigales. The record is from RNAcentral.
UCAGACGAUGCGUCAUGCAUAUCAAUAAGCGGAGGAAAAGAAACUAACAAGGAUUCCCUCAGUAACGGCGAGUGAAGCGGGAAGAGCUCAAAUUUGAAAUCUUGAAAGGUCACCUUUCACGAAUUGUAGUUUAAAGAAGUGUUUUCUGUUACGAUCGUAAUAUAAGUUCUUUGGAAUAGGACAUCACAGAGGGUGAGAAUCCCGUCUAUGAUUGCGAUUUGUAGCUUUGUGAUACACUUUCAAAGAGUCGGGUUGUUUGGGAAUGCAGCCCAAAACGGGAGGUAAAUUUCUUCUAAGGCUAAAUAUUGGCGAGAGACCGAUAACGAACAAGUACCGUGAGGGAAAGAUGAAAAGAACUUUGAAAAGAGAGUUAAAUAGUACGUGAAAUUGUCAAAAGGGGAGCGUUUAACACCAGUGUUGUUUUCUGAAAAUCAACCUCUGUUAGCUUUAUGCAUGUUUGUUUAGACCUAAUCAGCUAUCUUGCAUGUUCUAUUGUUUGCAGUGGUGCACUUUUCAGUUUACAGGUCAACAUCAGUUUUUUUUACCGUAAAAAAGUUAAAGAAAGGUAGCUCAUGGCUCCGGUCGUGAGUGUUAUAGUCUUUUUCCUAUGCGGUAGGAGAGACUGAGGUCUGCAGUGUAGGCUAUUUGGCUAGAUACUCAGGUGCUAUGUGAUACCAUUUCAUAAACAACUUGUUGAUUAUGUUUUGUCUAUUGCAUACUCGCUUGUACUAUCAUACCUACGCUUAGGAUGUUGAAGACUCUACAGAGAUA